This 76-nucleotide transfer RNA is filed under the name Gammaproteobacteria bacterium. RNAcentral's name for it is "tRNA-Phe". It matches the Rfam family "tRNA". Rfam says of the family: Transfer RNA (tRNA) molecules are approximately 80 nucleotides in length. Lineage: Bacteria; Pseudomonadati; Pseudomonadota; Gammaproteobacteria. The record is from RNAcentral.
GCCCAGGUAGCUCAGUCGGUAGAGCAGGGGAUUGAAAAUCCCCGUGUCGGCGGUUCGAUUCCGUCCCUAGGCACCA